Molecule: long non-coding RNA, 1989 nt
Organism: Dendronephthya gigantea
Lineage: Eukaryota; Metazoa; Cnidaria; Anthozoa; Malacalcyonacea; Nephtheidae
Exons: 4
Source: RefSeq, a predicted model, not a curated record
UCUAGCUACGGCCCUGAUCGCAUCCCCUAUUGGCCCUGGUCGACGCCAAGAGCAAAAUAUGUAGCUUUAAAUGUCAAAGGUCUCUUCUUAUUUUAAUCGCAUAUAGCUAUUCGAAAAUGUAAAAGUAAGGAAAAGCCUGAUUUUCAUUAAGUAAUCGGCAGUCGGCGAUGGCUAUUGUUGGUGAUCACUGGAAAACAAAGUGCUUUGUUAUUUCUUCAUCACCGCCCAUCAACAAUGUAUCGCCAAUUUUCGGAGUUUAAUGAGAAGCAUAAUUAUUCACUCGUUACUUUUUAGUAUGUUUGCUACUCAUGGUAUAUGUAUACAGCUUUUGAAAGUCCAUUGAAAGUCCAUGCCACACUGAGAGUCAUUGGUUAUAACUUCUCUCGAGUAAAAACGCAACUAAUGGCUGCAUGCAAUACUAUAAGCCUAAGAUCUUUCUCUUUGCGUUUACAGGCUAAUUAGGCUUUGCGACUUAGCGGAGGACACAAAUUUUUGUAUUGCAGCCAUGCAUAUAUAUGAAUGUAUAAUAAUGCAUAAGUCACAGGAGAUUAUCAGUCAUCGAUCAUUUGAAAUUCUUCGCCUAUAGAUUUGAGACGUGCAUGGUUAUGCCACCAUGUAUUGCCCGCGGGCUUUCCUAAACGUCGAAAAAAAUUACUAGUACAGUUGAAAAAUGAUAUUUUUUAAAAGUGAACCUUUUGAUAUAUUCGUGUAUGAUAUAUGUAGAUAUCAUCGCUGAAUCCUCAGUAAACAAAAAGUACAGUUCGGAAUUACAAACAAAUUACUAUUUACCUAUCUCAGUUUUCAGGCUUAACAAAUAUUCAUUGAUCAGCAUCCUGUUUAUCUUAACGAAGAGAAUACCUACGUGUGUGCAAUGCUUUUUAACCAAGCUUGCAUGUCUAAACUGAAAAGGGUUAUACCUGCUCAUAUAUGUGCACCAGGCCCAAGAAAAACGGACAAAGCUAUCAGCAAAUAAUGCAAUUUUCUAUCUCUGUUGAACUAUACAUAGUUUGCCUCAUGCAAUCAUCAUUUCAAAGACCGAGACGAGCUCUGGGAUAUUUCUUAUUCUAUGCAGUAUUUGGUGCAUUUUUGAACGAGAAAUAAUGAUUAAAAGGAAUUUGCCGCUAUUAUAGAAACAAAUUAGUUUUUGUAUCAGACAGAUUGGUUCAACAUUUUAUACAUUUUUAUUGGUUUUGAUUUAUCUACAAUAUAUUUCUUACAAAUAAUUCAUCAUGCAAAUAAACACAGCCGCAUUAUACUGACAUGAUAGCAUGGAUAAAUACUUUUUAAAGCAGACAUGCACUGUCUCCCCUCAUUUGACUGUGGUGCCGAGAUCUGGAAGAAAACAUCUCAUUUAAGUCAGUAUUCAUUACUAUCUCAAAGCAUCCGUAUCUUCACAGAACGCUGCAUGGAAACAUUUCUAUAAGGGCUUGCAAUCAAGAUAGAAAAUGGCAUUAAUGUAUUUGGUGGUACUGUCCGCUUUUCUUGGACUUGGUGCAUGUGGAGCAAAAGGCUGUUCUCAAAACGCACCACCCCGCAACGGUGCUCUUGCUUGUCUGAAUUUCAACGGUUCACCAGGACUUUGUAUAGCCUUUUGUCGAGAGGGUUUCGAUUUUGGCUAUCGUCCAGCUAAUCUUUAUUACUGUUCCGGAGGAAAUUGGAACGCGUGGCCGCCAUUUCCUCGGCUGGACCCACACUGGCCGGACUGUGCAGCAAUGGAAGGCUUUAACACAAUGAAGGAAAACUCAUACUAUUAUGCUGGGAAAGUCAGUGCUCCUAAAGUGCAAGAUCAUCUAAAAGAAUCUUUCAUUGCCAUAGCAUCUGACGUUUAUUCCGUCCCACGAACGUUCUGCAGUGCGAACCGUUUUUGCAGGUUGGAAAACGUUCAAAUAUAUAGUGGAAAAAGCUUUGGUUCUUAAACCAACAACGCUUGUUCAAGUUUGACAAAAGUUUGUCUAUAGCUAAGUCUUGAAAUAAAAAAUAUCUAAAAUA